GACGAACGCUGGCGGCGUGCUUAACACAUGCAAGUGGAGCGACGAACCGGGGCUUGCCCCGGGGCAGAGCCGCGAACGGGUGAGUAACACGUGGGUAACCUGCCUCAAUGAUUGGGACAACCCGGGGAAACUCGGGCUAAUACCAAAUGUGUUCACUCCUUCUAAGGGGAGUGAGGAAAGGAAGCUUCGGCCUCCGCAUUGAGAUGGGCCCGCGGCCCAUUAGCUUGUUGGUGAGGUAACGGCUCACCAAGGCUUCGAUGGGUAGCUGGUCUGAGAGGACGAUCAGCCACACUGGGACUGAGACACGGCCCAGACUCCUACGGGAGGCAGCAGUGGGGAAUCUUGCACAAUGCGCGAAAGCGUGAUGCAGCAACGCCGCGUGGGGGAAGACGG
This 393-nucleotide ribosomal RNA is filed under the name uncultured bacterium. Its description in RNAcentral is "bacterial SSU rRNA". It matches the Rfam family "Bacterial small subunit ribosomal RNA", at positions 28 to 414 of the family's 1533-position model. The record is from RNAcentral.